RNAcentral lists this ribosomal RNA (762 nucleotides) under Geobacillus sp. IC. Its description in RNAcentral is "bacterial SSU rRNA". It matches the Rfam family "Bacterial small subunit ribosomal RNA", at positions 31 to 769 of the family's 1533-position model. The record is from RNAcentral. Lineage: Bacteria; Bacillati; Bacillota; Bacilli; Caryophanales; Anoxybacillaceae.
GAGSMAUUGGCGGGSAUGCUAAUACAUGCAGUCGAGCGGACCRAAUCGGGAGCUUGCUCUGAUUUGGUCAGCGGCGGACGGGUGAGUAACACGUGGGCAACCUGCCCGCAAGACCGGGAUAACUCCGGGAAACCGGAGCUAAUACCGGAUAACACCGAAGACCGCAUGGUCUUUGGUUGAAAGGCGGCCUUUGGCUGUCACUUGCGGAUGGGCCCGCGGCGCAUUAGCUAGUUGGUGAGGUAACGGCUCACCAAGGCGACGAUGCGUAGCCGGCCUGAGAGGGUGACCGGCCACACUGGGACUGAGACACGGCCCAGACUCCUACGGGAGGCAGCAGUAGGGAAUCUUCCGCAAUGGGCGAAAGCCUGACGGAGCGACGCCGCGUGAGCGAAGAAGGCCUUCGGGUCGUAAAGCUCUGUUGUGAGGGACGAAGGAGCGCCGUUCGAAGAGGGCGGCGCGGUGACGGUACCUCACGAGGAAGCCCCGGCUAACUACGUGCCAGCAGCCGCGGUAAUACGUAGGGGGCGAGCGUUGUCCGGAAUUAUUGGGCGUAAAGCGCGCGCARGCGGUUCCUUAAGUCUGAUGUGAAAAGCCCACGGCUCAACCGUGGAGGGUCAUUGGAAACUGGRGGACUUGAGUGCAGGAGAKGAGAGCGGAAUUCCACGUGUAGCGGUGAAAUGCGUAAGAUGUGGAGGAACACCASUGGGCGAASGCGGCUCUCUGGCCUGCAACUGACRCUGAAGCGCGAAAGCGUGGGGGAGC